Molecule: long non-coding RNA, 3564 nt
Organism: Corythoichthys intestinalis (scribbled pipefish)
Lineage: Eukaryota; Metazoa; Chordata; Actinopteri; Syngnathiformes; Syngnathidae
Exons: 3
Source: RefSeq, a predicted model, not a curated record
ACGAUUACUCAUUUAGUUGUUGCACCUCUAAUUAACAUAUUACAAAAUUCAACAAGCAUGUCAAAAAAUCAGCAAACAAUAUGGCCAAAUUUCAUCAUUUCACCCAGUUGUAAAGUUAACCAAAUACUGAAGGAUUGCAAAACACGUUUAAUAUUCAGCCUAUAAUUUGCAUUGUUUGUCAUCAGCAACAAAAUUACAUUUUCUUUGAAAUAAUCAACUAUUUGGGUGCUACUGACAAAGCUAGACGUCAAAUCCAUUUGAACUGCGAGGGCAACAACAGUGAUGGACAUCUAAGAAGGACGACAGGAACGACUAAGGUUUGGCCGAAAAAAUGCCAACUCCUCGUCCUUCAUCGUCUUCUCCGGCGACGAGUCAAUGCAGAAAUCUGAAAACACACCCAAAGACUUGUCAAAGUCGACAUUUUGUGAGGAUUAAUCCAGCCAGCGGGAGGUAAGCAACAAGCCAACUCAUCAUAGCGAGUACUGCCAGUAAACACCUUUCAAAAGAAAAGAACCUUGGUAAUAAAGACUAUAAAGUAAGUAAUAAACUUGCGUUGAUUUAAAUCAAACUGUUAAUGAAAUGAAUACAAAAAAUUCUAAAAGCAUUUAUAUAGAUUUUUUUUAAUGUGAAAAAAAAAAUGAUGCCUUCUAUGCGUAGUCUUUUAUUUCUGCCGAGGUCACAUAACUUCCGCUCAUUAACGUGGUAACACUUGCUACCUUGAUUUAAAAAAAAAUCCCAUUGACUGACAGUCAAAUCAGAGCACGGCCUGAAAUACGGUAAAACAUCGUCAUCUACUGGCCGAGCCCAGCGUGUGCUCUUUUUAAAGAGCCACGACGAAAGCAAAACAUAAAACGUAAAAAAAAAAAAAAAAAAAAAAACAUAAAACGUAUUUUAUCACCUGUGAAAUUUGAUCAGUAUUCGUCAUUUUAAAUUAUAAAACCUGACUGAAACCAACUUAAAAUGAUAGCCCUUGUUUGGAUACCCAACUUUUUAAAAAAUGGCCUUUUUCUGAAAUGCUACAUAACUAUGUUGACAACAUAAACGAAAUUGCGUUGGCGUUUUGUUUUCAGUCAAUAUAAGCCACAGUUUUGAUUAUGGGUGCUCAAUCCCUGGUGGUCUAGUGGCUAGGAUUCGGCGCUCUCACCGCCGCGGCCCGGGUUCGAUUCCCGGUCAGGGAAUAUGAGUUUUUCUUGUCGCUCACAUUGGUCAUUUCAGAAAAUGUACUACAAUCAAUCUUUUUCUUGUCGCUCACAUUGGUCAUUUCAGAAAAUGUACUACAAUCAAUCUUAGUCAUACAUAACGUUAUUAAACAUUUAGGCAAGGGAAAUUGUAUUUGUAUAACACACUUUAACGGAAGUAAUUUAUGGGGCAUGUAGUCUCCGGAUUACGAACAAAUUCAGUUCUUACUCUAGCGAGGUAACUCGAAUUUCCGCGUAACUCAUAAUUAAACCUUUAAAUACCCCCAAAAAAACCCCAAAUCUCAAAACAACUAUCCAAAAACAUGUAUUAUACAUCACUGUACCGUCCUCGCCAAGACGUUGGAGCUAAGUCCAAGCUGGAAAGCAAGCUAAGCUCCGAAAUGGCAAUGUCAGACGUCCGUCCAGGGCGGUGUCGAGUUGCUACUCCUCUGUGUUGAGAGGAGCCAAUUGAGGUGGCUCGGGCAUCUCGUUCGGAGGCUUCCUGGACAGUGUUGUCACAAAUAAUUUAAAAUAGUAAUUUAAUUACUGAUUACGCCUCAAAAAAGUAAUCUAGUUACUUUACUGAUUACUUUAUUAUCAAAGUAACUAAGUAACUUUAAAAGUUACUUACCAGCUACUUUUUACCAAUUUUUCUCCCUUUUCCGCCUCAACAUAAGAAUGAAAAGAGAAAAAUGUCAUCGCAUGGAAUUGACUUUCCGAUAAUUGAAUUUAAAGGGGAACAGGGCCGGCCCAGCCUAUAUGCAGACUAUGCAGCUGCUUAGGGCCCCUGACCACUGGGGGGCCCCCAAUUUGGCAAUUGUUUAAUUUAUAUUCUAUUUUGUUUACUACAGUUUGCUUUAUUUGACUUUUGUCAGUUUUGAUACUUGAUUACAAGCUUAAAAAAAUAAAAGUUCUUCCUUAACUUCUUUCCUCUUUUAGAAAAAGGUUUGGCGCUAUCUACUGUAAGUACUGACAAUCAUUUGGGGUGAGAAGUUUGAAGAAUGCAGUGCAACAAAAUCUGAUUAAUAUACAAAAUAUGGACGUAUGGAUUGGAUUGCAUGUAUGGGUUUCACAGUACACUGUGAUGAAAUGGUGGGCCGAAAAUAUGGGCCCCUUGGCAUUAUUUUGCCUAGGGCCCCCAAAUGGCCUGGGCCGGCCCUGAAGGGGAAGAUCAGAAUUUUUCACAUAAGGCUUAAUCUUCGAGUUAGUGGAGGUUUAGUUAGUCAAUGGAGUUGAUUUCAACCACCAUUGACUCGCGCUAGUUUAGCCACUCCGGAGCCCGAAACUAACAAAUAAAUGACAAACUGCAUAGAAUUUUUUAAAAUGAACUCCACCAACAAAUUUAACCCCGCUAACUCGAAGAUUAAGCCUAAUGUCAAAAAUUCAACAUUUCAGGUUAGGGUUGACAGUAUAUCAGCCAAUGUAAAACAAUGCAAAUUGACUACCCAAUAAUCAACAACACACAAAUGAAUUGCACAGUGCAAUAAACACAAAAGGUGGGGGCGGGUGUGGCUGCGCUCGCACAACUCGGAAGUACACCAUACACACACCCGGACAAUUUGGCCAACAAAUGUGGCGGCAACUAGGCGCUUUACACUCAAUUGGACUUACAACAUAUACCAAAGAUGCUAAACGAACACGUCACCUCACUGCAUAAAUGUGCAACAUGAAUAUGAUGCAAACAAUGGUUGCCAACUUGGAGCGUUGACUGCCCGUCGUUGCAACGGCAAAGCUAUGAAACGGCCGCGCAUGUUGGUUGUCCAACCUAUCGCUGAUACCCUUCAGAAUGAAGGAAAAAUACACACUUUUAUUUAUGGAUGUAUACAGAUCAACAUUCCCUCACACAUCUCAACACUCACUUCGAAUGUGCACACAUGCUGGCAGCCUAGCCCACGCCUUUCUUUGUUCAAAAACACUUAGCGCGUGUGACUCGAGACCAAAACAGGAAGUAGCUGUCAGCGGUUACCAUGGAAACAAACACCUACCGGGAACCUUUUCGAGCUUUUCUGUUCAAAAUGCUCUUCGUACAUGACUACUAGUGGUGUCAACAAUAAUCGAUACAUCCCAAUGCGAGGCAUGGACGAUUCGAGUCGAUGCGGGCAACAAGCCGAAUCGAUUCAGCGCAUUUUAAAAUAUAUAAGUACGUUCAAAAAUCUUCCCUGCGCAAUUCCGGUGAUGCAACGGAUUUGGUUUCCCCAUUUGUAUUAUUAUUCUCAUGUUUAAUUUUUUUACACACCGCAUAACUCAAGUUUCCCACCAACCUCGUAGAAGCCAAAAUGUCUCCAGAUGUCUGCUUUCAAUGUCUUAGUGCAUCAAUAAUCUUUCUCGCUCCCUCUUUCUCCGCUUCAGCCAUUAUUAUGUUAUGUCCUAUCGCUUAGAGGUUAGA